Molecule: ribosomal RNA, 1472 nt
Filed under: uncultured prokaryote
Description: partial 16S ribosomal RNA
Rfam family: Bacterial small subunit ribosomal RNA
Source: RNAcentral
UCAGAACGAACGCUGGCGGCGUGGAUUAGGCAUGCAAGUCGAACGAGAAAGCUUCCUUCGGGAAGCGAGUAAAGUGGCGAAAGGGUGAGUAAUGUAUGGAUGACUUACCCUCGAGACGGGGACAACAGCCCGAAAGGGCUGCUAAUACCCGAUGGUUCCUGCAGCUCGCGGGCUGCCGGAUAAAUGGUGCUUCCGCUUGGGGAGGAAUCCAUGGCCUAUCAGCUUGUUGGUGGGGUAACGGCCCACCAAGGCAAAGACGGGUAGCCGGACUUAGCGGUUGAUCGGCCACACUGGGACUGAGACACUGCCUAGACUCCUACGGGAGGCUGCAGUCGAGAAUCUUCCGCAAUGGACGAAAGUCUGACGGAGCGACGCCGCGUGCAGGAUGAAGGCCUUCGGGUUGUAAACUGCUGUCAGAUGUUAUGAACAAGUACAGUCCAGCUUGCCCUGACAAAAGCAUCAGAGGAAGCCACGGCUAACUUCGUGCCAGCAGCCGCGGUAAGACGAAGGUGGCAAGCGUUGUUCGGAAUCACUGGGCAUAAAGCGCGCGUAGGCGGGAUAGCAAGUCGGGUGUGAAAUCCCUCGGCCCAACCGAGGAACUGCGCCCGAAACUGCUAUUCUUGAGGACAGAAGGGGAGCAUGGAAUUCCUGGUGGAGCGGUGAAAUGCGUUGAUAUCCGGAGGAACACCGGCGGCGAAGGCGACACACUGGUCCGAUUCUGACGCUGAGGUACGAAAGCUAGGGGAGCAAACGGGAUUAGAUACCCCGGUAGUCCUAGCCCUAAACGAUGGGUACUAAGUAGAGGGGGUUCCGAUACCUUCUCUGCCGGAGUUAAUAUUUUAAGUGCCCCGCCUGGGGAGUAUGAUCGCAAGGUUGAAACUCAAAGGAAUUGACGGGGGCUCACACAAGCGGUGGAGCAUGUUGUUUAAUUCGAAGCAACGCGAAGAACCUUACCUGGGUUUGACAUGCAGGGAUUAACCUUGUGAAAGCAAGGGGCUGCCCUUCGGGGUGAAACUUAGACAGGUGUUGCAUGGCUGUCGUCAGCUCGUGUCGUGAGAUGUCGGGUUAAGUCCCUCAACGAGCGAAACCCUUGUCUCUAGUUGCCAGCGGGUCAUGCCGGGGACUCUAGAGAGACUGCCGUUGUGAAAACGGAGGAAGGUGGGGAUGACGUCAAGUCAUCAUGGCCUUUAUGUCCGGGGCUACACACGUGCUACAAUGGCCGGUACAGAGGGAAGCAAAACCGCGAGGUCAAGCAAAUCCCACAAAGCCGGCCCCAGUUCGGAUUGGAGGCUGCAACUCGCCUCCAUGAAGGUGGAAUCGCUAGUAAUCGCGGAUCAGCUACGCCGCGGUGAAUAUGUUCCUGGGCCUUGUACACACCGCCCGUCAAGCCACGAGAGCCGGCAGUGCCCGAAGUCGCGUACCCAACCUUCGGGAGGGGAGUGCCUACGGUAAGACCGGUGAUUGGGACUAAG